CUUGCCCUACGGGGGGCAGCAGUGAGGAAUAUUGGUCAAUGGGCGCGAGCCUGAACCAGCCACGUCGCGUGAGGGAAGACGGUCCUAUGGAUUGUAAACCUCUUUUGUCGGGGAGCAAAAGACGCCACGCGUGGCGUUCCGAGAGUACCCGAAGAAAAAGCAUCGGCUAACUCCGUGCCAGCAGCCGCGGUAAUACGUAGGGAGCGAGCGUUGUCCGGAUUUACUGGGUGUAAAGGGUGCGUAGGCGGGUAAGCAAGUCAGAAGUGAAAUCCAUGGGCUUAACCCAUGAACUGCUUUUGAAACUG
RNAcentral lists this ribosomal RNA (305 nucleotides) under uncultured bacterium. Its description in RNAcentral is "bacterial SSU rRNA". It matches the Rfam family "Bacterial small subunit ribosomal RNA", at positions 333 to 635 of the family's 1533-position model. The record is from RNAcentral.